Molecule: long non-coding RNA, 334 nt
Organism: Manis pentadactyla (Chinese pangolin)
Lineage: Eukaryota; Metazoa; Chordata; Mammalia; Pholidota; Manidae
Exons: 3
Source: RefSeq, a predicted model, not a curated record
GGAAGAAGCAGAGGGGGUGGAGACCUCAGCACCAGGGGAAAGCACGAGGCCCCAGCCACCCCCAAGCCUCUCCCGCCACCCUGGGUCAGGUGAGAGGAGAGACACGUUAGGCAAGGCAGGCCCGGCGGCGUGUGCACUCUCUGGUACCACGAGAAGUGACAUCCUUUCCUCUAAAUGCCUGGAGAGAGACUGCCUGGGCUUAAAAGGGAAAGGGAAAUUUGGACACAGAGACAUAGAGUGGAAGGCCACGUGAAGACAGAGGCAGAGAGGGAGUGAAGCAGCCGCAAGCUAAGGAACACCUGGAGCACCAGAAGCUGGAAGAGACAAGGGAGGA